Molecule: unclassified non-coding RNA, 159 nt
Filed under: Cheilymenia stercorea
Lineage: Eukaryota; Fungi; Ascomycota; Pezizomycetes; Pezizales; Pyronemataceae
Description: partial internal transcribed spacer 2
Source: RNAcentral
AAAACCACUCAAGCUCUUUUGCUUGGUUAUGGAAGAUGAGUAUGCCUAGCAUUCUCCCUUUCGAAAUUCAAUGGCGGAAAGCCCCAUGUGCCCCGGCGUAGUAAGUUUUCUUUCGCUUGGAACAUGAGGUGAUCCUGCCACAAACCCCCAAUUUUUCUA